UGAUGUGAAAGCCCCCGGCUCAACCGGGGAGGGUCAUUGGAAACUGGGAAACUUGAGUGCAGAAGAGGAGAGUGGAAUUCCACGUGUAGCGGUGAAAUGCGUAGAGAUGUGGAGGAACACCAGUGGCGAAGGCGACUCUCUGGUCUGUAACUGACGCUGAGGCGCGAAAGCGUGGGGAGCGAACAGGAUUAGAUACCCUGGUAGUCCACGCCGUAAACGAUGAGUGCUAAGUGUUAGAGGGUUUCCGCCCUUUAGUGCUGCAGCUAACGCAUUAAGCACUCCGCCUGGGGAGUACGGUCGCAAGACUGAAACUCAAAGGAAUUGACGGGGGCCCGCACAAGCGGUGGAGCGUGUGGUUUAAUUCGAAGCAACGCGAAGAACCUUACCAGGUCUUGACAUCCUUUGCCACUUCUAGAGAUAGAAGGUUCCCCUUCGGGGGACAAAGUGACAGGUGGUGCAUGGUUGUCGUCAGCUCGUGUCGUGAGAUGUUGGGUUAAGUCCCGCAACGAGCGCAACCCUUGAUCUUAGUUGCCAGCAUUCAGUUGGGCACUCUAAGGUGACUGCCGGUGACAAACCGGAGGAAGGUGGGGAUGACGUCAAAUCAUCAUGCCCCUUAUGACCUGGGCUACACACGUGCUACAAUGGAUGGUACAAAGGGCUGCGAGACCGCGAGGUUUAGCCAAUCCCAUAAAACCAUUCUCAGUUCGGAUUGCAGGCUGCAAC
This 723-nucleotide ribosomal RNA is filed under the name uncultured bacterium. RNAcentral describes it as "bacterial SSU rRNA". It matches the Rfam family "Bacterial small subunit ribosomal RNA", at positions 590 to 1311 of the family's 1533-position model. The record is from RNAcentral.